Molecule: long non-coding RNA, 185 nt
Filed under: Anas platyrhynchos platyrhynchos (common mallard)
Lineage: Eukaryota; Metazoa; Chordata; Aves; Anseriformes; Anatidae
Description: lncRNA (ENSAPLG00000028717.1)
Source: RNAcentral
CAAAACCAGUUCUUCAGAGCUUGUAAGUUGAAGUCCAAAAACAAGCAGCAGCGUGUUCGCCUGUGUUUCUGACAUUCUGAUCUAUCUCACUCUGAAAUCAUGAACUGAAACCAGAGACUAGCUUCGAUCGUCACUGAAAUCCCCUCUUCUUGGCCCGAAGAGAUGUCAUAUGUGGGAAGUUAAAA